UUUAACUUGGCAGAUAAAAUGCAAUUGAUUUAGAAUCAUUUUAUAAUAUAACUAUUAGUUGGUA
RNAcentral lists this transfer RNA (64 nucleotides) under Planorbella pilsbryi. Its description in RNAcentral is "tRNA-Leu". Lineage: Eukaryota; Metazoa; Mollusca; Gastropoda; Planorbidae. The record is from RNAcentral.